UGGAGGACUGAGAAGGUUGAGCAGCUUGUGCUGUGCUGUUAUAACUGGUUAUAACCUCCGAGAGCAAUAAACAAAACACAGAUUUAUGUGGCUCUGUCAGGAGCAGAGCUGAUGUGUGUUUUGUUAACAAAAA
Larimichthys crocea (large yellow croaker) is the source of this 133-nucleotide small nucleolar RNA. Lineage: Eukaryota; Metazoa; Chordata; Actinopteri; Sciaenidae. The record is from Ensembl.